ACUACCAUACUGUAACAAAUGCAUUAGAACAUGAUUUAAGAAACAGAGAAACAGUAGCACAUGCCAACAGUCCUGACCAUUUAUUGAGAUCUGUUUAAUGUGUUACUGUUACAACUCCCUUUUAAAUAGGCUCCAUUAAAAAAAUAACAUUUGUAUAGACUUGAAAUGAAUUGUUCACGUCUACAAAAUAACAUUGUCAGUAGAUAACAAACUCAACUGUUAAUUUGUCUUUACCUCUCUGUGUUAUUAGCUAAAUCUAAACUAUGUCUUGGGGAAGAAAGAUGAUCAUGGACCAACAUUCAUUAUAGAUUAACUGUACAGAGCUUCAUACUUUGAAUAAUAUCAAGUCAGGAUAAAGUGUGUCAAUAUCAUAACAAGAAUGACACCUAAUCUUUUGUAAAAUCCUUUUAAUUUGUUACACUCAUUAUUACAGACUCUAGCA
Molecule: non-coding RNA, 442 nt
Organism: Biomphalaria pfeifferi
Lineage: Eukaryota; Metazoa; Mollusca; Gastropoda; Planorbidae
Source: the annotation of a GenBank genome assembly